AAAGACCAAAAUGCAAGUCGGACGAGAGACCUUCGGGUCUCUAGUGGCGAACGGGUGAGUAACACGUAGGGAACCCGCCCGCGCACCGGGAAUACGCUCUGGAAACGGAGAACAAAUCCCGAUGUACAGGAAGGAGGCAUCUUCUUUCUGUGAAACAUCCUUUAGGGGAUGGGGCGCGGAUGGACCUGCGGUGCAUUAGUUGGUUGGCGGGGUAAAGGCCCACCAAGACGAUGAUGCAUAGCCGGCCUGAGAGGGUGGACGGCCACAUUGGGACUGAGACACGGCCCAGACUCCUGCGGGAGGCAGCAGAAGGGAAUUUUCGUCAAUGGGCGCAAGCCUGAACGAGCGAUGCCGCGUGAGUGAAGAAGGCCUUCGGGUCGUAAAGCUCUGUUGCGGGGGAAAAAAGGCAGCAUCAGGAAAUGGGUGCUGACUGAUGGUGCCCCGCCAGAAAGUCACGGCUAACUACGUGCCAGCAGCCGCGGUAAUACGUAGGUGGCGAGCGUUAUCCGGAAUGAUUGGGCGUAAAGGGUGCGCAGGCGGUCCUGCAAGUCUGGAGUGAAACGCAUGAGCUCAACUCAUGCAUGGCUUUGGAAACUGGAGGACUGGAGAGCAGGAGAGGGCGGUGGAACUCCAUGUGUAGCGGUAAAAUGCGUAGAUAUAUGGAAGAACACCAGUGGCGAAGGCGGCCGCCUGGCCUGUUGCUGACGCUGAGGCACGAAAGCGUGGGGAGCAAAUAGGAUUAGAUACCCU
This 750-nucleotide ribosomal RNA is filed under the name uncultured bacterium. Its description in RNAcentral is "bacterial SSU rRNA". It matches the Rfam family "Bacterial small subunit ribosomal RNA", at positions 49 to 788 of the family's 1533-position model. The record is from RNAcentral.